AAAAAAAGACCGACAUGUAUCCUGAUUAGAUUACAUGAUAUCAGAAGUAAUGAACGUCCUUUUAAAAUAAGAAAUAUGAAUGAUUUGAUGAGAUAUGGUUACAUUGAAUACAGCAAGAAAAGGGAGAUUUUACUUUUCAAUGGAAACUGAGAACAUUGUAAAAAUGUGCUAAGCAUGACUAAUGAUGACAAACAGUGACUGAUACAUCAAGUGAAAUAAGAAAAUAUAAAGAUUUGAAUUGGAUGUUUAGUCUAAGAGAGGCAUGUUUUACAUUUUGUAGCACUUUUUUUUUAACUACAGGAAACAAAAGUACCAACAAAUAUGAUGGUUAAAAAUUGUUAAAUAUAUUUUGUAUUGAUAAAAGUUAAGCUGGUUUUGUGAAAAUGUUGUAUAAAAAGAUGUAAUCUUUUUCAAACAGUUUAAAAAAUAUUUUAAAAGAGUUUGCAUCUACAGAUUCCUUAUUUGAAACUUGAUGAAUAAUAAAAACAUGAAUUUCAAUGUU
Long non-coding RNA from Uloborus diversus, 502 nucleotides. RefSeq lists it as uncharacterized. Lineage: Eukaryota; Metazoa; Arthropoda; Arachnida; Araneae; Uloboridae. The record is from RefSeq and is a predicted model, not a curated record. The transcript is spliced from 2 exons.